AGCGAACGCUGGCGGCAGGCCUAACACAUGCAAGUCGAACGAACCUUUCGGGGUUAGUGGCGGACGGGUGAGUAACACGUGGGAACGUGCCUUUAGGUUCGGAAUAACUCAGGGAAACUUGUGCUAAUACCGAAUGUGCCCUUCGGGGGAAAGAUUUAUCGCCUUUAGAGCGGCCCGCGUCUGAUUAGCUAGUUGGUUGAGGUAAUGGCUCACCAAGGCGACGAUCAGUAGCUGGUCUGAGAGGAUGAUCAGCCACAUUGGGACUGAGACACGGCCCAAACUCCUACGGGAAGCAGGAGGGGGGGAUCUUGCGCAAUGGGCGAAAGCCUGACGCAGCCAUGCCGCGUGAAUGAUGAAGGGCUUAGGAUUGUAAAAUUCUUUCACCGGGGACGAUAAUGACGGGACCCGGAGAAGAAGCCCCGGCUAACUUCGUG
Molecule: ribosomal RNA, 434 nt
Filed under: uncultured bacterium
Lineage: Bacteria
Description: partial 16S ribosomal RNA
Rfam family: Bacterial small subunit ribosomal RNA
Source: RNAcentral